UACGUAGGGUGCGAGCGUUAAUCGGAAUUACUGGGCGUAAAGAGUGCGCAGGUGGCCGCGCAAGUCGGGUGUGAAAUCCCCGAGCUUAACUUGGGAAUUGCGCUCGAAACUACGUGGCUCGAGUGUGGCAGAGGAAGGUGGAAUUCCACGUGUAGCGGUGAAAUGCGUAGAGAUGUGGAGGAACACCGAUGGCGAAGGCAGCCUUCUGGGCCAACACUGACGCUCAUGCACGAAAGCGUGGGGAGCAAACAGG
This 253-nucleotide ribosomal RNA is filed under the name uncultured bacterium. RNAcentral describes it as "partial 16S ribosomal RNA". It matches the Rfam family "Bacterial small subunit ribosomal RNA", at positions 524 to 776 of the family's 1533-position model. The record is from RNAcentral.